Molecule: long non-coding RNA, 5295 nt
Filed under: Sus scrofa (pig)
Lineage: Eukaryota; Metazoa; Chordata; Mammalia; Artiodactyla; Suidae
Description: lncRNA (ENSSSCG00000055330.1)
Source: RNAcentral
GAAGGGGAAAGCACAGUGAAAUGCUAAGUUUCAGAAAAGUGACCUAAAGGACAGUUUGGUCCCAGGAUGAAAAAAAGAAGAUGUGGUUUGAUCAAGUUGUAUGGAUGAUCUAAGCGGUCCACCCAUUCUUCUCUUGUGGGAAGGAGUGGGGGCAGCCUGAGAAGACCCUGUUUGGAAGAACACACCCAUCUCUCUGGGACAGGGGUGGGGAACAGAAAGGGAGGAUGGAAAAGAAAACCAUAAGAGAUUUGACUGAAGCACAGAAAAAAAAAAAAAAAAAAAAAAAAAAAAAGCAGAUCCCUGAAUGUACUAAUCCUUGUUAGUAACAGUCUUUCCCAAGUUUCUGCUGUAACCAGCACGUGAGCAGGAAGACCAGGAGCUAUUUCCGACUGUCAAUGAAUUGUAUAAUGGCUCUGCUGCAGUGACUUCCAAACCAGGAAUUAAACACUUUUUAAGAAAAAAUUUAAAAAAAAUUCCUGUGCUAGUCUCCCAGAAAAAUGUACAUGUUUUGGAGACUUCAAAGGUAUUAUCAGAGUUCACGUUUAGCCACAGCUUAUUAAUAACCCUCAAGCUGUCAGAAUCUCUAUAGUUACCAUUUACAAUUUUAUACUGUGAAAAAAAUACAGAUCAGUGAAAACCAUAAAGAUAAGUUGGAAUUCACGUUGAAGAGGGUCUGAGACCUGGGAGAUGCUCUACUCUCUGUUCAAGGAUGAGGCAUGUAGGAGUUCCCGUCGUGGCGCAGCGGAAACGAGUCCGACUAGGACCCAUGAGGCUGCAGAUUUGAUCCCUGACCUCGCUCAGUGAGUUAAGGAUCCAGCGUUGCCCUGAGCUGUGGUGUCGCAGACGUGGCUCGGAUCUGGCAUUUGCUGUGGCUCUGGUGUAGGCUGGCAGCAACAGCUCGGAUUCGACCCCCUAGCCCGGGAACCUCCAUAUGCCGCGAGUGCAGCCCUAAAAAGAUAAAAGACAAAAACAAAAAAACAAACAAACAAACAAAAAAAGAAUGAGGCAUGUAUAAAAUAGUUGGCUGAAUUUCACUGAUCUUCCCAAUGUGAACAAAUAUACUAUGUAUAUUGUGUGUAUUUCUAGAAUUCAAUGGCAGCUGCUGGUGGUGUUGUAAUUAGAAAUCUAUAUAGAAUAUAGAUGUUUUAGAGAGAUGGUGCCAAUCCUAAAAGAUUUGUGUGGGCUACAAGUGCUUGUAUUUACUUUUUUCUGCACUUUAACUGAUUUGGUUUUAAAAUGGUGUGCGCGUAUCCGUUUUCUUUUUUUUUUCUGUUGUUGCAGCUUGUGCUAUUAAAACAAUAGAGAAUGUUAAAUUAUUUUGAUGUGAAUUGCAAAUGAUUUUUUCAUAAAGUUUAACAUUUUUAUCAGCAUUGUUUUGCUUUGUACUUGUAUAAAUGUGUUUUAUUUUAGUAUUUUAAAAUAUACUUGCCUGUUUCUCAGUUGUCUAAAUCAUGUUAUAUAGCUGGUGUUUGUGAAGUCAAGUUACUUUUGGAAAAACAUUAAAAAAGAAACUAUGAUAUGACUUUAAGAUUCUUCCCCUUAAGUGUUUAGAAUGUUUCAUAAUGUUUUCUAUGACCCAAAGAGCAAUACUAUUUAUUAAUCUUAAAUUCCAAAUGAUCUACACAUUUGAGUUAGGGGGGUUGCAAAGCAGCCUGUGGACAAGGAUUAACAUGAGAACAUAAGCCAACCACAAAGCAACCAGAGAUCCCCAAAGGCACCUACAAACACCUUUUAAGACACAUAAAUACUUUUAUUAAAACAAGAAAGCAUGUGGGUAAUAUCACUUAUUUUCUUUGUGCCUGGAAAUACAAAUACAAAUUACAUACAUAGUUCCAUGAUUAUCCCUUUUGAUAGAAGUAACAUCACAAAAAGAAUAUAGAUUUUGUGUGUGUGUGUGUGUGUGUGUGUAUGUAUAUGUAUAUCUGUCCAUGUUAUACAAACCUACACACAUCUAUAUAGAUAUUUCACUUUUGAGUCCAUCUAUACCUGUGUUUGUAUGUGUGUGUGGGCAUAUGUAUAUAAUUUUGCCAAAAAAAAAAAAAUUACUUGUCAAAUCACAUUUUACUUUGAUGGAUUCUUAAGCAAGUUAACACUCCCUGAAGACAAAUUAACUGAAACAUAAAAUAACAGUGUAGGAGUUCCCGUCCUGGCUCAGCAGAAACGAAUUUGACUAGUAUCCAUGAGGACACGGGUUCGAUCCCUGGCCUCGAUCAGUGGGUUAAGGAUCCGGUGUUGCUAUGCGCUGUGGUGCUGGUUGCAGAUGCAGCUCGGAUUGCUGUGGCUUUAGUGUAGGCUAGCGACUACAGCUCUGAUUUGACCCGAGCCUGGGAACCUCCAUAUGCCAUGGGUGCAGCUUAAAAAGACAAACAACAACAACAACAACACAAUGUAGAUGAGAUACAUGAUGUGUGGAACAGAAAGACAAUGUAAAUUUUAAAAUACAGCUUCUCCCUGCUUCCUUACUUGCAUUAUUUAUACACAUUAUAUAUAUUUUUAUCUUAUUGUACAUAGGUAAAUUGAUACAAGAUAUGUUUAAUCCUAAAAAAGAAAACCAGUUUUUGUCAGACUCUAAUUCAACAUCUUCUAUUCUGAACUAAUUCAAAUGGGCAUAUGUUUCUAUAAACUUGAGAUUGAGGGGAGAUAGCUGGACCAUAUACAGAAAAUUAUCUUUUAAAGAUCAGAAGAGAUUUGUAAGACUCCGUAGAACCAUGGGAGACCAGAAAAAAAGUAGCUGAUGCAAUAGAAAUAACAUUAAGUAGAAUUAAAAGUCAGAAUAUAUGGCCCUGUCCCAUACAACCUUGGAUAAAUUAUCAGUUCCUCUUUAUCUAAAUGCAGAUAUGAGUUAUAAUAACCCAUGAGAUUCAUUUCUUUUCCAGCAUUCCUGGUAUAUGGUAAAUGCUCAACAGAUCAUAACUAUUAUUAAUGGCAAUAUAGUAUUUGUUAUUCAGUUAAUAUCCAGCCGGCAGCUUAGCUGUGUUAUGUCCGAUAUUACUGGGGGAGCUGUAACAAAUUACUGUUCAAUCUCAAGCAUGUAUCAUUCUGGGGAAAAUCCAUUCAGGUUUGAACUCACAUGCAACUUUGGAAUUGUUCAUCUAGGAUAACGUAUCUAGGUUAUCUAGUCAUAUGUUAUUAUCUUAAAACACCACAGAAAGAAUACUUAUCUUCUGUUAUAGUCUAUGCUGAAUGCUAGCUAAUUUUUUGGUUAUACCAUUCAUAAUCAUUUUUAAAAAUAAACCAUUUUCCUAUAAAUGUGAUAAAAUUCAUUGAGUAUUAAAAAUAAAAAAUAAAAUAAAAUAAACCAUUCUCAAACAUUUACUUUUUUAUGAUAGCUAGCUAUACAGGUAUGUAAAUAGAAAUGUAUUAAUGAAAUUAUCUCAAACAAUUGCAUGGUAAUUACACUUUUUCUCAAAAUAUUUUGAAAUUCAGAAUCAGUUACUACAUUAUUUUUGAACAAUAAUUUCAGUAGAUAAAUUCUAAGGAAAAAACCUUUAGACUCACCUCUCUGGCCAUAUUUAGACACCUAAACAAAAAUUAUAGGAAAACUUCAUUUAUAAUGUCCACAAGAAUAAGUAUUUUAAAUUAGCUUUUACUCCAGACAAAACACUUUUUUUGGCCAUGCCUAUGGCAUGUAUAAGUUUCCAGGCCAGGGAUCAAACCCAAACCACAGCAGUGAUCCAAACUGUUGCGGUGACAAUGCUGGAUCCUCAACCUGCUGCAGCGCAAGGGAACUCCAAACAUUUAUUUUUGCCAUAACACAUAAGUCUUUUUGAGGUUAUGACCUAGGUGAGCAUCUAUACAAGCAAGCUAGUUAUAUGGUAUAUAUAUAUAUCAGAUGCAUUUGGUUUAUUUAUAUAUAACUUGUAUUUUUACUCAUUGACAUAAAACAAAGCCUUAUGUAACUAUGACGUUUCUAUAAAGGGAUAAAUGUUUAUAUAAUAUUAUGACUACUAUGUCAAUGAAAAUUACAAUUUAAUUAGUAAAUUAGCUUUUCUGAACUGCUAAAUAGUAAGAAGAUGUUCCAUAAAGUAAAAAGUUGGGUUUUUUUUUUUUUUUUUGGCCGCACCCACAGCAAAAUUUCCCAGGCAAGGGAUGUAACCCACACCACCCAAGUGUCCUGAGCCACACCAGGAACAACAUCAAAUCCUUAACCUGCUGAGCUACCAGGGAACUCCAAGGUAAAAGGUCUUAGAGUUUUAAAAGUUUGGAAAUUAUAAUAAUUCCGUAUUUCAUGGUUGGCUGCCUUCAUCUCAGAAUCUUAGAACUUGCCACUCCACUUUAAAUAGGCUAAUAGACAAUAGCUCUGAAAGACUUUUUUUGUGUGUGAUCAGUCUCCUUGGAGUAGGGCUUCACAGAAUGAACUUUGGAAAUGGUAUGACAUAAAAUUUAUAACUCGUAGACACUUUUUCUUUUAGUCUUGAAAACUAAUUGCUAUAUCCAUGAUGAUCUCACAAGGAUUUUAGAGAAGAAAAUAUGGAUUGAUAUCAUCAUUUUCAGAGCCAUUUAUUAUUGAAUCAUAGAAAGCCUUCCUUCAUCUUAUCAUCCAUUUUACUCAUAUUUUCUGAUUUCUCAGUGCUCUACAGCACGUUAAAUUUAUUCCCAGAGGUCAAUCUGAGGGUUUUCUUUUAUUUUUUCUAAUCAACAUGUUGGAUGAUUUCCUUAACUCCAACAGACUCGGAUGAAGCAAUACGUGGGAGAGUGGCAUUAGUAGAUGUUAAGUAGCCAGUGAACUGUAUUCCAAGAGCAAUAGAAGCCUAUUGGCGUAUUUUCUGGAAGUUAUUUUAGAAAUGUUUUUCACAUUUUUUCUAAUUUAUCUAAAUAAUCAAAAUUACAUAAGCACAUCUAAUACAUGUACUAUCCCAAUGCAUUUCUAGCGUGUUCAAAAUAAUGCUUUUCACCUUUUACCUCCCUGUGGGUUGUGGUACUCUCUGUCACAUGGUUUCUCUCUCUAAAGAGCUCAGAUCUCAUCACUAGUCCUAGUACAUUCAUCCUACUUUUCAAGGAGGCAUGAAAUGUAUGCAGAGAGAAAAGGUGUUUUUCUGGGGAUGUAAACAUACACUCGAACAAUCCAGGACAAAGCGGCAACAAAAUUAAGAGAGCCUCCUAGCUUAUUACUAUUCAGCAGUUCAGAAAAGCUAAUUUAUUAUAUUAAAUUAUAAUUUUCAUGGAUAUAGCAUUCAUAUAAUUUAUUAUGUGUCAUUCAUCCUGUUAUAGAAACAUGACAGUUAUGUAUGGCUACAUGGAAAUGAACUUAAUGAAAACCCUGCAUAUUAAAAUUUGCGUAACAACCAGAAUGCU